AUUCAAAAGUCAAAGCUAUUGAUAAGAUUUCCAUAAAAGAGACACACAAAGAGUCAGACAGAAAAGGAAGGAUUGUUUAGAAAUUCCUCAAAGAAGUGUCGGAAACUAGCGGGAGAUUACCGUAAUACGAGAAAAAAGAGAAUGGAAGGGAGGCGUCCAAAAUCUGACUCAGACAACGAAUCUGAAUGUAAGCUGAUAUUACUAAUAUAGCAAGGAAGGGUUUUAUAUUAGGAUGAUUUUCUGGGAAUUCCCGGUGUCGAAGUUUUGGGACUACGGACAAUUAUAAUAAUAAUGUUGAGAAAAAUGGAUAAGAUGUUUCCUGGGAUUAUAAUCUGGGGGAGAAUGAGGCCAUAAACGACCAAUUAAAACAGGUCUGCAAGUAUAUACACAUAAAACCAUUGUUAGGACUAUUUGUUUUAGUGCAAAGGUAUUUUAAAGAGGCACGCUCACAUAUGGAACUUUAUGAGUUUUAAUUAUACAAGUGAAUUUUUUUCAUUUUUAUGACCUAUUGAUCUUAUCGUGACUGUCUUCUGAGGUCUGAUCAGCCUCAGGGGAGAGUCAUUUGUAUAAUGAAUGUGGUCAUAUUGAGUUACUAGGUUUAAGGUAAAUUCAUUAUAAUGGAGUUUGGUUGGGGGGUUAGAAUUAUUGUUUGAACCGCAAAUGAGAACGUGGUUCAGGAUUCUGUUUUACAACAUUAGCUGUGAAGUUUUUGAAUGGGCUAUUAAUGAUUUGGUAUUGUAACAGAGAAAAAGUCAUAUUUAUCAUUGAGAAUAAAUAGGGGAAGAUAAAAUAGAUUAUUAAGCCAAUAGGGCAGGGAAAGUUGCAGUUUUUUAGGGGUGAUAAAUUACUAUAGAUAAGGUAUUCCACACUUUGCAACACAUAUUAAAUCCAUGUUAUUGUCAGUUAGAAUACUGAGGGUCCCCGAAGGAGAGGGCUUGUUAGUGUAGGAAGGAUUUUUAAUAUGGUUAGCAUUUAUUAGACUUUGUUUGAUUAUUAUAAGUUUUUAAAUAGUAUUACAUUUAACAGGAAUAUAGGACAUCUGUGAUGAUUUAGGAUUAUUGUUAGGAUUAAGAUAGAUUAAUUAAGGAAAUGUAAGGACUUUAGAGAAAAGCCGCUCAUAGACAUGUUUUUUCUAAAAUCAAUGAUUGUAGAUAAAGUCAAACAGUUAGAAGCUUAGUGGAAUUUGAGAGAUAUGAGAGAAAAGGGUUAUCGGGAAUAUAUAUAUAUUUAAGAAAAUAUAUAAGUAGCGCAGAUAGUUCUUAAAAGUAGAUAAGAAACUUGACAGGGAAUUGGUACAGGAUUGACAUGAAUGGAUGCCCAAGGGAGAAUUGGACAUGUGGAAAAUUAAAAGGGGCUCCUACAUGAUGAUGUCAGACAUAAGGAGAAUUUACUAAUCUUACCUAAGUCAUUGUUUAAGAAUAGGCAAGGUCGUUACUCGGGCAGAGCCAGGUAACAAAGGGGGGAUGGGUAAAUUGUGUUCUAGAAUAGGAUGUGACCUACAGGAUAAUUAACUGAUAAAAAAAAAAAAUGUAGUUAAUAAACAGAACAAAUGAGAAACUGUUUGUUAACCAAACCUGUAUGUCCAAGAUUUUAUGCACUACAGGUGAACUACAGGUGAAGUCACUCAAUCCAGUCCCAUAGGCUUGUUGGGGGGACCAUACCAAGGACUUCUGGUGACAGCUAGCUGAAAGAGCUACCCGGAUUCAUAUCGCACUGCGGGAGGGUAAGACACAAUAACACUCCGAACAAUAACAGAGUUCGAGUGGAGAACUGGAAUUAACAGAAUUCUGGGGGCCAUCUCUCGAAUGAAAAAUACCUUACCUGUCCUUUCCUCACUGUUGUUGUUCAUAGUAGUGAAGAUGUGUCUGGCUCUUGCUAAACGAUGUGUUCGAGGGGAGAGGGUGGGGCUUCACAUGGAAGCUGUUCGUCUGAGCUGUCUUAUCGUGGGUGACAUAUUCCUGAUACAGCACGUCCUACUCAAGUAUGCGGAGAGUGGUAAUUUCACCCAUGGGUUAGACGGUGAGGAUUUUGCUCCAAAAUAGAAGAGAUAUCAGUGCAGGUUCCCAUAUUGAUCGUGGACACAGGUCAUAGCUCAUUGGGAGAGAGGGCUAUAUGAAUCCACUCACCCAGUAUGGAAGAAGGUAGAGUAGAGUGGCAUAAAGAUACGCUUAACCCUUUAAAUAGAAAUGAAGGAGGAUCAAGGGUUGUGGUAUGGAGAUGACCAGGUCUUGGUCGACACCCUAGUACGGUUCUGGGUAGAGGAGUUUGGGCUGGUAUGGUAAAGCUGUUCACGAAAGCAGGAAUGCCAGAUAAUGACAGUUGUAUUGAGUUGCACUAUUUAAAUCCCCAGGUUCCUCCCUUUACAGUAUCCAGAGGAGAUUAUUACUGUUUGGCCCGGUAUAGUACUCAUGAAAAAAUGUGGGAGAAGUUAGUACUUGUAAUAGAACAGAGAAUGUUACCACUAAAAAGACCGUGUUGGAUUUGAGAGGAUGGUUAAACUCUGAAGAUUUCAGUAAAGUAAGAUGGGCCAGGGCUGACAUCUGGUGGUUGUGUGGGGGAACAAUUCUAGGAUCAGUAUUACCCACAGAUUGGGUGGGGUCAUGUGCGUUGGGGAUGCCUUUUACACUCAUUCAGACACCAGGACAUGAAGUUAUCUAAACGGGAAAAGAGAAGCACUCCAUCUGGGUCAUUUGAUGACAAGGAAGACAUUGAUAACAUUGGGGUUCCAGGGGAAGUGCCAGAGGAGUCAAAGCAAGAAAUCAGAUCCUAGCAGGAUUAGAGUUAACCAUUUCCGGGGCUCUACUCUCAUAAGAACGUGGACUGGAUUAAUUAUAUUUAUGAUAAUCAACAGCGCUUUAACAGGUAUACCAGAUAUGUUAUUAAAGGUUUUGUAGAACAGACUGAAGCAACCAGCUGGAAGGCUUGGCAGAAUAUAAUUGCAUUAGAUAUGUUAAUGGCUGAAAAGGGAGAAGUAUGCGUGAUAAUCAGGACCAUGUUUGUGCUUACAUCCCAAAUAACACAGCUCCGGACGAAUCAGUGCCCGAAGCCUCAGCUGGUUUGACCACCCUGGCUCACGGGUUGGCAGAAACUCUGGGGUGGAUACUUCUCUGACUGAUUGGGUUUUGAUAAUUCGUUUGUAAAAUGGAAAAAUGUUAUGAUCACUGUGUUAUGGGCUACAUUCACCUGUGUGACUGUGUUAGUUUUGUACGGACGUGGUUGAUUGCGUGUAUGUAUGAAAGUUAUUAUUUCCAGGACCCUGGAGUAAUCUAUGACAAUAGAUGAUGCGGUGUGGGACGAUUCCAGGUUCUGACCCGUGGAGGACUGAAUGCCUGACUACAGGACAAGUGGACAAAUCUGGAUCUUUCAUCAUUGGGGAAUUUAUGUUUGAUGAGACUAGUGUUGAGGAUAGAAUUAGAUUGUACUUUGUUUCAAUAUUAGACUGUUUUUUAAUAAAGAUUGUAACGAAAAUCCUGAAAGAAGGGUUAUGAUUCUGAUGUAGGUUUAAAAACAGUUGGAGUUAAGGUUAGUUUGAUUAAUGAUGGGUGAACAGUCGGAUAAACAUUUAUAAUAAUGUUGGUUAUGUGUCUAUUGAUAUGAUAAUCUGAUAAACCUUUAUAAUAAGGUUAGUUAUUAGUAGGUUAAUAUUUUUAUUUUUUAUGUUUAAUAAAACUAGAUGUAGAAUUGAAUGUAUAAUAUUUAAUCAAAGGGAGGAUUGUUGGAGGAAAUUAUAGUUGAAAUGAUUAAUAAUGUAUACAUUUCAAUUAGAACCAUUUAUUCUAAUACUAUUAUGUUAUGGUAUGAAAUGUAUGGGUUCUUGGUUAAGCUGUUACUGAAAAUGUAAGUAAAACAAAUUAAUUGUCUGUACCUUGCGGGAGGUUUAAGGGAGAGGGAUGAUAUAUCUUUUCUGACAGAUAAGAAUGGUCCUUGAUAUUCCAGUAGUGGAGGAGAAGAUAUCUUUUAGACAGAUUGGAAUGUUUGGUUUAUGAGGGGAGUAGAAGAAAUCUCCAGACCUGAAAACACUGCGCUAUUGUGUGGAUCGGAGAGAGUGUGAGAAACUGAUAAUGUCAUUUUAUGUUCUCUCUUUAAAAUGUAAGGUUCUUUGUAUUUUUGGUUAGUACUCUCUUAAAUUAAACGCUGUUACCUGGCUUUUAA
Long non-coding RNA from Oncorhynchus keta (chum salmon), 4152 nucleotides. RefSeq lists it as uncharacterized. The transcript has 2 exons. Lineage: Eukaryota; Metazoa; Chordata; Actinopteri; Salmoniformes; Salmonidae. The record is from RefSeq and is a predicted model, not a curated record.